GAUGAACGCUGGCGGCGUGCCUAAUACAUGCAAGUCGAGCGAACGGACGAGAAGCUUGCUUUUCUGAUGUUAGCGGCGGACGGGUGAGUAACACGUGGAUAACCUACCUAUAAGACUGGGAUAACUUCGGGAAACCGGAGCUAAUACCGGAUAAUAUUUUGAACCGCAUGGUUCAAAAGUGAAAGACGGUCUUGCUGUCACUUAUAGAUGGAUCCGCGCUGCAUUAGCUAGUUGGUAAGGUAACGGCUUACCAAGGCAACGAUGCAUAGCCGACCUGAGGGGGUGAUCGGCCACACUGGAACUGAGACACGGUCAAGACUCCUACGGGAGGCAGCAGUAGGGAAUCUUCCGCAAUGGGCGAAAGCCUGACGGAGCAACGCCGCGUGAGUGAUGAAGGUCUUCGGAUCGUAAAACUCUGUUAUUAGGGAAGAACAUAUGUGUAAGUAACUGUGCACAUCUUGACGGUACCUAAUCAGAAAGCCACGGCUAACUACGUG
RNAcentral lists this ribosomal RNA (497 nucleotides) under uncultured bacterium. RNAcentral describes it as "partial 16S ribosomal RNA". It matches the Rfam family "Bacterial small subunit ribosomal RNA", at positions 28 to 507 of the family's 1533-position model. The record is from RNAcentral.